GAAACUAGAUCCAGUCUUUGUAGCCAGGGGCUGCAUUAAGGAUUACAUCAGGCUUUUAUAAGCUUUCCAGAUCACACAUUAGAGUGAGAGAGAGAGAGAGAGAGGGAGGGAGGGAGGGAGGGAGGGAGGGAGGGAUGAGAGGGAGGGAUAAAAUGCACACACACAUACACACGCACUGAUCGGAGCUUUGCAAAACAGGCAGCUAUAGGCAAGGACCCUAACUGCCUCGCUGUGGUACCGGGCAUGCUCCGCUAGCCUAUAGGAAGAGAGGAUGGAUGGAUGGAUGGAUGGAUGGAGAAGAGGAGCCAGAGAAAGCCGGAGUGCAUUGGUGGCUGGGCAAAUGCAGCCGCUCCGGGACAGCUUAGCCCAGAGCGGGAAACCAGGAGAGGUGGAAACACCUCUUUUCUCCGACAGAACCACUUCCCUUCCUGCUCAGAGCUGUUGUCCCCAUCAAUGGAGACACCUGACGACCACAGAACAGACCCGCCCCAAGAGACAGAGGCCAAAGAAGCUCAGCACAAGGAAAAAGUACCUGAAAGUGCCACUGUGACAAAACUAAACCCAUUUCCAACCCUCGCUGCUGCAAUGGGGUGUGAUGGAAAUCUCCUCUUUGUGGGACUGGGGAACUGAGGUUGCUGCAAUGAAAAACUUCACUGCAGCCCCUUUGUAUGCAGUCUGAGGUAACCUUCUGGUCCCACAGGGUUAAUAUAUCCACCUCUAAAAUUGCCUGGAAGGAUAACUGCAGUGUAGAGGAACUGAUCCCACUUUGUUGGAAGAGUCCCCUCCUACCAGUGGCAGUCAUCAGAGGAUGGCAAGGGAAGAAAAGAGGGAAUGUCUCAGCUGCUCAAGAGAUCUUUUGGAAGAGGAUAACUGCAAAUCAGGACAGCCCUGCUCCUUUAGGUGCUGAAAAGCCACUAUAAGGUCUCCCCAGAGCCUUCUCUUCUCCAGGCUGAACAACCCCAACACUCUCACCUUUUUGUAUAGGAGAGUUGCUCCACCUCUCUGAACAUUUUUUGGCCUCCUCUGGGCUCACUAUGACAGAAUCAUGUCUUUGUUGUGCUGAGGGCUCCAGACCUGGGUGCAGUGGUCCACAUGAGCUUUCACCAGAAUGGAGCAGAGCGACGGAAUCAUCUCAUCCUGCUGGCCAUAAUCUUGUGAAGAAGGAGGAGGGGUGUGACUGGCUUCUGGGGUACGAGAGAGCACUGCUGGCUCAAGUCAGGAUUUUCAUCCUCUAGUACCAUCGAGUCCUUCUCUCCAGUCUGAUCCCAGUCCCAUGAUCCACCAGCCUGUAUUGAUACCAAAGAUUGCUUCAACCGUUGUGCAGGACCCUGCACUUGGCUCUGUCGAAACCCAUGAGGUUCACACUGGCCUACUCCUCAAGCUUGUCCAGUUCUGCCUGGGUGGCAUCCUGUUUGUGAGGAACGAGUAGGAAGCUAUUAAAAUACAGAGGAUGUUUGUCCUAGAGGGACUUGUACUCUAUCUGCCUGCAUUAUGUGGGGCACAGAGGUAAAGUAAAAACUGGAGCAUCCCCAAAAAAGUCACAUAAAAGAAAUCUCUUUAAAGUUCUCACCUGCUCUUUAUCCUUGUUUGGGAACUGUAUUCACAAGAGGGAAAGUGCUGAAGAGCUUCCAAAAAUAGCUGUGGCAAUAAUAACUGCACCACCAUUACUUUUUCCCACAGUAGUUGUAGGAACCUGCUAGCCACUCUGAAAACCUCGCCGAGCACAAAAGGCUUCUCAGAUGGUGCCAACGCAGAUCCACUUGCAGGGCUUGACUCAGGAAUGUCUUUCCGAAGCAGAGCUAUAGAUGGCACUACGUAGUAUUUACGGAGUUGUUUCCUCCAGUAAAUCUCCUUAUUUAAGCAGAAAGCCAGAGAAUUUCAUUUCCUUGUCGUUACAGCGCUCUCUGAAUGAGAACUCCUAAAUCAAGGGAGAAACUGGAAGCACACAGCAAGAGAAGCUUCCUUGCCUGAGCACCGGCAAAAGGCACUUGAAAUGUAAACCACCUCUGUGGUGUAUAGGAUUCUCUGUCCCCUUUCACAGGGGUGAUAUUUGGAGAGCUGAACAAGAAAACUGUUUUGUCUGCUGGGAGAAAAGGAAAAAAGAAAAGAAAGAGGAAAAAAGAAUAGAAAGAGAAAAAAAAAAAGAGAAAUCUCUCAACUGGCUGCUACAGAAACCUGAAAUAAACUCAAAAUCCCAGGAUUACUGUCAAAAACCAUCAGUAAAGUAUGACAUCAGACAUGGAUCUGAUUCACGCUGGUUAAACCACUUAAUUGCAUUGGAAAUUAUUUGUUGGUGGUGCUUUAAUAUCAUUAGGAUAGCUUUCAAAAUAACUUUAGACUAAUCAUGUUUGAGGGUUUGGGUUUUUUUUUUACAAAAAAUGCCCUCAAUUCUUUUCUCCUUCUUAUAGUAUAGCCCCAAAAGGCUGCAAGGGCAAGCGUGGGGUCCUGCACCCGGGCAGAAGUAACCCCCUGAUCCAGCACAGUUGAAGGGUUGACCUGCUGGAAAGCAGCUCUGCGGAGAAGGGCCUGAGCGUGCUGGCUGGCAAUGAGUUCACUCGUGACCAAGAAAGUCAGCAAUUUCCUGGGGUGCAUAAAGAGGAGUGUGGCCAGCUGGUCAAGGGAGAGAGUGGCAGAUGUCCUCUACUUGCUGAAAGGGAAAAGAAAGGGAAUAAGGGAGAGAGAAUGAUGGGUAAGGAAAAAAAAAGAAGCCAGUUUAAACAAAAAUAAUAACAGUAAAAUGACACAAAUGCCCCCCCAAUACCAAACCCACCCUCUGCUGGCAAUUACAUCACUGUGCAUGUACAUCAUGUGCUGUGGGCAGGCCCCAGGGAAGUCCCAGAUUUGACUCCACAGCAGACGGGAAGUGAGUUCUGGAGCUGGAUUCAGGAACAUGGAGAUUGUGAAGGCAGAACGGUCUGAGUCCUCCUCAGACACCAGUUGGAGAAGAAGCUUGACACUGGUGACCCCUCAGCUUUAUCCCAAAGAUUACAUCCUUGGGAUGGAAUCCCUUGUUGGUUAGUUUAGGGUCACCUGUCCUGUGUGCUUCUUCCCACAGGUGCCACCUCUGACCUUCUGCACCCCAAUGUGGGGCACAAAACAAGUGCCCUUGGUCAGCACAGGAGCAAGUCUAAGGCAGAGCCUUUCUGCAAUCCAGCCCUUGGCAGGAAGUCUCCCCAUCAGUGUUCCCAAUGCUAGAAACAGUCACCAUCUGGGUAAUCCUGCCCUGAACUUCAGAAAGUUCUGUCUCUGAGCAGAGACUGAGUUGAGAUGUCAUCACUGUAAAGAAUUGAUUCUGUCCUAGCUCAGAUCAGGACAGGAUCCAUCUCUACUUUUUCUAUAUUACCAUCCUAAAGUUUUAAGGUUAUUUCCUUUGAAGAGAGCUCAGCAACCAUUUUGUGUUGGUACUCUUCUAAGGGGGAGAGACUUUUCCUCCCUUCUCACAGCUGUUUCGUUUAAUGUGAAUGUAAGUCACAUUAGACAGAAAGAACAUGUUUUCCCCCCUCUGACUGUUGAACAUAACAUCAUGGCUUGUGCAGAAAGCCUGUUUCAAUUACAAGGAACUUUCUUCUGUCCUGUUAAAGCUAAACCUCUGUGAAAUCCAUAUGUACUUGGGGACAGAACAAGAGAACAAAAUUGAAUGUUUAAGUAAGCUUAAGGGACACAGUCAAGUCAUAUUAAACUCAAAACAUACAAGCAAUGCAACUGUUGUAUGGAGUUUCUUCCUCCUCCUCUUCUUCUUCUUCUUCUUCUGAAUUACCCUCAGGUUUUGUAGCCCACUCCAAGAAAUUAAUACAAUUGCUCCAGCUUGAAUGAAACCUGCUUUGUUAUUUUCAUUAUGUACUUUAAUGGAGAGCAAAAUCAUUUAUAUUCAAGGACCUUCAUCCUCUUCCCACUACCAGACCACAGACUCUAGAAUCCACCUCUUUCUCUGAAUAGAGAGAUCUUUUGUGUUUAGAUGGAACCUUUGGAGGCUGCUGAAAAGUUUGGAGGGCAAUAUAAGAGGCAUUUAGGAACCACUGAUGUGCCAUUUGUGGAGGGAAAAGCUGUUUAUCUGCUCUGGAAAAUGUGGACCUAAGGAGAUUAAUCCUGGUCCAGAAUUGUGGGGAUGGCAUUAGCUAUAUCCCCAGCAUCAGCUAUAUCCCUAGUCCUGCUUCAGCUUGAGCAACCUUGGCACCAUAACCUAAAUGCCCACCCAGUGGCUGCAUUUAUUCCUUUCCUCUUUAUAAGUGACAUUUGCCUUCAAAGGAGGCUCUGCUCUUCAGAGCCUCAAUUAAUAAAUAAUGAGCCAUGUCUGCUUGCUUGUU
This is a long non-coding RNA of Pogoniulus pusillus (Red-fronted tinkerbird), 4304 nucleotides long. RefSeq lists it as uncharacterized. NCBI's taxonomy places the organism in Eukaryota, Metazoa, Chordata, Aves, Piciformes, Lybiidae. The transcript is spliced from 5 exons. The record is from RefSeq and is a predicted model, not a curated record.